UACGUAGGGAGCAAGCGUUGUCCGGAAUCAUUGGGCGUAAAGCGCGCGUAGGUGGCUUCGUAAGUCCGCUGUGAAAGUCAAAGGCUCAACCUUUGAAAGCCGGUGGAUACUGCGGGGCUAGAGUACGGAAGAGGCGAGUGGAAUUCCUGGUGUAGCGGUGGAAUGCGCAGAUAUCAGGAGGAACACCAAUAGCGAAGGCAGCCCGCUGGGACGUUACUGACACUGAGGCGCGAAAGCGUGGGGAUCAAACAGG
RNAcentral lists this ribosomal RNA (253 nucleotides) under uncultured bacterium. Its description in RNAcentral is "partial 16S ribosomal RNA". It matches the Rfam family "Bacterial small subunit ribosomal RNA", at positions 524 to 776 of the family's 1533-position model. The record is from RNAcentral.